GCCUCAGCGGGCCACUGCUAUAAAACAUAAAAAAUAUAAACAUAAAAUAUGUACCAUAAAAACAAAAAGUUUUUAAAAAUAAAAAGCAGUUACAUUAAAAAAAAUUCAUUUAAUGAACUAUUUAAUGGAUAUUCCUGUACUUCUGGUGCUUGCAUAUUUAACUCUUCACUUUCCAGAGACUAUCUGUAUUUAUACCAAAGAGUAGGACUAAAGACUGGGUUUUGCCUGUUCCGUUCAUAGAGAGACUUCUGGAACCCUUUAGCAGUAAUAGAGGGGAAUGUAUUAGGUCUGCACACUUUUGGCAGCAUUCCUGAGCAGUCAUUUCUUUUCAGGCAGCUUCUCCCUGUUGAGAAGAGUUGGGACAUGACAGCGCAUUGUGCGAAAUUGUUUCUUCACCUUCUUGCUUAGAUUACAUCUGGUAACUAUGGAACAUGAUGACUGUUCCCACAGAGUUUCCAUGGAAUGACAAUCAGUAACUCCCACUGAACAUACUAGAAGCGUCAGUAGACUGUGUGCCUAGUCCAAGGCUUUUUUUUUUUUUUUUCAAUCUACAUUCUCAAAAAUUACUUUUUAAGGAGUCACAUUACCACACUGACCUAGGAAUAGCAUGUCAAUCAGGCUCUGUGUGAAAUGUCAUGAAAUGUCUUCAUGGUCUGAAAUUUCAGAAUCUUUCCCAAAUCCCCAAAGCCUGAAGUGAAUCUCUAUUUGUUCUGCUGUGACCAGAGAGGACAUGAGGCAGAACUCUCUAGAUUGCUUUUCUUCUUCUUCUUUUUUUUUUUCCUCUCCCCAUGCUACCAUGAACAUGCUGAGUUCUGUGUCCUGAUAAAAACAUACAUUGAUCUUUUCCUUCUUACUUUGCUGGGGCCAGGAAUAGGCUGGGAAGAGUAAAGUAAUGAAGAAAUCUGAAAUCCAUGAGAUGGUUUAGCUCAGGGCUGAAAUUGUCUUCAGGAAUUUUUAAGUGGAGAAUAUGAGAAGGGGAGCUUCAGAAAAGAAGAGAGUUUGUAUAGGAGAAAAUAGAGUUAAUUAUAAGCUCUUCCUCUAAAAAUAUAUAUAUAUAUAAUUAAGCACACUAUCCUUUAAGUCACUGAGCUUAUAUUAUUAAAAAAUCCAUUAUUAUUCCCAAAAGGAUAAAAUUAUAGUGAUGAAGAAGAUACCAGUGGUUGUCAAGGGUUAGGUUUGGGGGCAGGCUGUGACUAUUGAAGGAUGGUGUAAAAUUCUUUGUGGUAAUGGAAGAGCUCUGUAUUCUGAUUUUGGUUGUGGCUACUAGAAUUUACAUAUAAAAUGAAAAUUUCCUAGAACUAUACCUCACAGGGGGAAAAAAUGUAUGCAAAGCUGGUAGAAUUUGAAUAAGGUCCAUAUUUAAGUUACUAGUAUUAUACCAAUGUCUGCUUCCUGGUUUUGACCACUUACUAAGGUGCUGCAAGAUAGUAUCUUUGGGGAGGCUGAGUGAAGGGUAUGCAGGGACUUCUUGUGGUUCAAACUAUUUCAAAAUUAAAAAGGUAUUUUUUAAAAGGUAUCUUUCUAUGAUAAACUAUAAAGAUCAGCUCUUAUCCCACAUUUCUCACAAGGAAACUGAACUCAGUUGCAGAUGUAAACUGCUCAAAAUCCCUUAGAGUCUAAGUCUGAGGCCCCAUUACACAUGCUCAUCUUUUUAUCUCAGAAGCCUGACCUUAACAUCAGUAGAACAGAUUCUGGUUAUGAGGUGCCCUUCCCCACCAAAGAUUGGAGACUGGCUAAUAGACCCAAGGUCGUUGAUCUUUGAUAGAGACUAAGUGUACUUUUCGUGCAUCUUUGCUGAGAAAGCUAGAAUUGACCAAUCUAGCUGUUAUUUUAGGAAAUGUAGAUAAUUUAGCCCCCAGCCAAUAAAUUAUACUCAUUCUAGUUUGCUCUAGUUUUUCCCAAAGCAAUUGGCAUUGCCAUUCAGCAAGGCUUACCAAAGGCUGUUUUGAGUUUCUUCUGUUCUAUUCCAGUGUAUGGCACAGUGUCUGGCAAACAGAAGAUGUUCAGCUAGCACUUGAGAGGGAAAUGGAAUUCACAUUGCAUGAGGUCAAGGAACUGAUCUUUUGUAUGUUCCAAAUUUGCCAGCACCUUGCCAUGGAUUUGGUACACAGAAGAAACUCAUAACACAUUUCAUCUGAAGAACAGUAUUCUGUUCUUUAGACUCUAUUAGCCAGACAGUUUCCAGUCUGCUUUUAGAAUGAUGCUGAGAGUAACUGGUAAUAAGUUCAGGGAACCUGGAAAGAAAUAAACCAGGACGCAGGCAACAGUCAAUGAGUAAGUAAUGGCCAUGACUUUUACUAGAGCUUGGGUAUAGCUAUUAACUACGGUAACUACAAUGUAGGGGAGGGGGAGGGACUUGAAGCUGGAUGUAUAAUAUGACUGUUGAUAUGUGAAGGACAGUAUGAAAGUCUGAGCUUUCCCAGGGGAUCCUCCCAUUGUCAGACCCCAUCUUACUUCCUCUUACUUCUUGUCUCAAGAUCUAGCCUCUCGUGAUAGUCUUUUCCAUCCCCUUCUUUCCCAGAAUCCUCAUGAUAAAAACCUUCAAAAGCCAAAUCUCUGUGACUUUGUUUUUCAGAAAAAACUCCUUUAUUUUUUCCAACAAAUCCACCCCAUGUUUAGGAGCCUCAUCUCCCUCAUCCAACAGCUGUUGUGCUAAGCAGGAGAGUGGCCUGCCUCUGGAGUGUGUACUUCCUCUUCCCUGGCAUGCAGACCAGGUCAGACCAAAAGUAUUUCAGAUGUGGAAUAAUGUGGAAAAAAGACAUAGAAACAUGAAGGACAUGGUAUGUUUCAGGGACCAGGAGGUAGAAGUGAUUGAAGGGAGAGUGCUUUGUGGGGAAAAAAAUGCAAGCAAGGUUUGUUAGGUUGGGUUGGAAUAUAUAUCAAGAUAUGAAGAAGAGUUCCUGCUGUGUCACAGUUGGUUUAAUGAUCCAGCAUUGUCUCUGGCAGUGCAGGUUAGAUCCCUGGACCAGCACAGUGGUAAAGGAUCCUGUGUUGCUGCAGCUGUAGC
This 3007-nucleotide long non-coding RNA is filed under the name Sus scrofa (pig). Its description in RNAcentral is "lncRNA (ENSSSCG00000059427.1)". Lineage: Eukaryota; Metazoa; Chordata; Mammalia; Artiodactyla; Suidae. The record is from RNAcentral.